UCCCAUGUGGCUCAGUUGGUAGAGCAUGGUGUUUGCAACGCCAGGGUUAUGGGUUCGAUUCCCACGGGGGAC
Non-coding RNA from Salmo salar (Atlantic salmon), 72 nucleotides. The record is from Rfam. NCBI's taxonomy places the organism in Eukaryota, Metazoa, Chordata, Actinopteri, Salmoniformes, Salmonidae.